AUGAAAUUCUAUUAUACCAAAGGGACUCGGUAAAGGCGAAGGCAGCCCUCUAUGUAAAAACUGACGUUGAAGGACGAAGGCACAGAGCACAAACAGGAUUAGAUACCCAAGUAGUCUUUGCAGUAAAUGAUGAAUGUCAUAGGUUAGAUUAAGCUUUAAUUAAUUAGUUUAUCAGUAAUGAACUAACUAUUAAACAAUAUUUAGUCUAUAAAUGAAAGUGUAAGCAUUCCACCUCAAGAGUAAUGUGGCAACGCAGGAACUGAAAUCACUAGACCGUUUCUGACACCAGUAGUGAAGUAUGUUGUUUAAUUCGAUGAUCCACGAAAAACCUUACCACAAUUUGAAUAUUUUACAGGAGUUGCACGGCUGUUUUCAGUUAAUGUUGUGAAACUGUGGUUUCCAUGAAAUUAACGCAAUCCCUGGCUUUAUUUUUUUUUUUAUUACGAUAAAGCAUUUGAUCCAGGAUUUGGAAAGAAAAAGGGGACAAAGACAAGUCAUCAUGGCCUUGAUAUUGUGGGCUAUAGACGUGCCACAUAUUCCUACACAAAGAGAUGCAAAAAUGUGAAUUUAAGCUAAUCUCUAAAAAUAGGAUAUAAAUUUUAAGGAUUAUAGUCUGAAACUCGACUAUAUGAAUAAGUAAUUACUAGUAAUCGUGAAUCACCAUGUCACGGUGAAUUUACCUUGGAUUGGUACUAACCACUCGUCACAUGCUGAAAAGAGCAUGCGCAAUAAGUUUGCUUUCUUGAUGAUUAGUAAAAAGAAUAAGCAGGUUCUAUAUUCUAUUAUUAAG
Molecule: ribosomal RNA, 790 nt
Filed under: Metarhizium pingshaense
Lineage: Eukaryota; Fungi; Ascomycota; Sordariomycetes; Hypocreales; Clavicipitaceae
Description: SSU rRNA
Rfam family: Bacterial small subunit ribosomal RNA
Source: RNAcentral